UUGUCCCUACGGGAGGCAGCAGUGGGGAAUAUUGGGCAAUGGGCGCAAGCCUGACCCAGCAACGCCGCGUGAAGGAAGAAGGCUUUCGGGUUGUAAACUUCUUUUCUCAGGGACGAAGAAAGUGACGGUACCUGAGGAAUAAGCCGCGGCUAACUACGUGCCAGCAGCAGCGGUAAUACGUAGGUGGCAAGCGUUAUCCGGAUUUACUGUGUGUAAAGGGCGUGUAGGCGGGACUGCAAGUCAGAUGUGAAAACCACGGGCUCAACCC
RNAcentral lists this ribosomal RNA (268 nucleotides) under uncultured bacterium. RNAcentral describes it as "partial 16S ribosomal RNA". It matches the Rfam family "Bacterial small subunit ribosomal RNA", at positions 333 to 615 of the family's 1533-position model. The record is from RNAcentral.